RNAcentral lists this transfer RNA (64 nucleotides) under Lichanura trivirgata (rosy boa). RNAcentral describes it as "tRNA-His". The record is from RNAcentral. Lineage: Eukaryota; Metazoa; Chordata; Lepidosauria; Squamata; Ungaliophiidae.
GUGUGUGUAAUUUAAAAAAAAUGUCGGGCCGUGACCUCGAAAAUAGAAACCCAUCUCGCACACC